This 230-nucleotide long non-coding RNA is filed under the name Elaeis guineensis (African oil palm). Its description in RNAcentral is "long non-coding RNA (EGUI_LNC012701)". The record is from RNAcentral. Lineage: Eukaryota; Viridiplantae; Streptophyta; Magnoliopsida; Arecales; Arecaceae.
UCAUUGGUCUGGUUUGAGUCUAAGCUUGAUUGCAGGUCCGUUCCUCGAUCCGCUUAAAUUCAGCCUGUUUGACUAUGAAUCUACGAUACCCAUGGAAAUCACUCUUUUUUUUUGGAGGGGGGGGGGGUGCGCGGUGGGUGGGAGCGAGUUUGGUUCUCCCCUCCCUCCUUUUCCUCUCCCACCCCCUUGACAUUGCUGCUACCUCCCCCUCCUCCACCCAACUUGGCCAA